RNAcentral lists this ribosomal RNA (497 nucleotides) under uncultured bacterium. RNAcentral's name for it is "partial 16S ribosomal RNA". It matches the Rfam family "Bacterial small subunit ribosomal RNA", at positions 28 to 507 of the family's 1533-position model. The record is from RNAcentral.
GAUGAACGCUGGCGGCGUGCCUAAUACAUGCAAGUCGAGCGAACAGACGAGGAGCUUGCUCCUCUGACGUUAGCGGCGGACGGGUGAGUAACACGUGGAUAACCUACCUAUAAGACUGGGAUAACUUCGGGAAACCGGAGCUAAUACCGGAUAAUAUAUUGAACCGCAUGGUUCAAUAGUGAAAGACGGUUUUGCUGUCACUUAUAGAUGGAUCCGCGCCGCAUUAGCUAGUUGGUAAGGUAACGGCUUACCAAGGCGACGAUGCGUAGCCGACCUGAGAGGGGGAUCGGCCACACGGGAACUGAGACACGGACCAGACGCCUACGGGAGGCAGCAGUAGGGAAUCUUCCGCAAUGGGCGAAAGCCUGACGGAGCAACGCCGCGUGAGUGAUGAAGGUCUUCGGAUCGUAAAACUCUGUUAUUAGGGAAGAACAAAUGUGUAAGUAACUAUGCACGUCUUGACGGUACCUAAUCAGAAAGCCACGGCUAACUACGUG